UACGUAGGGUGCGAGCGUUGUCCGGAAUCACUGGGCGUAAAGGGCGCGUAGGUGGCUCACGCAAGCGUGCGGUGAAAGCCCGGGGCUCAACCCCGGGUCGGCCGUGCGGACUGCGGGGCUCGAGCACUGUAGGGGCAGAUGGAAUUCCGGGUGUAGCGGUGGAAUGCGUAGAGAUCCGGAAGAACACCGGUGGCGAAGGCGGUCUGCUGGGCAGUUGCUGACACUGAGGCGCGACAGCGUGGGGAGCAAACAGG
Molecule: ribosomal RNA, 254 nt
Filed under: uncultured bacterium
Lineage: Bacteria
Description: partial 16S ribosomal RNA
Rfam family: Bacterial small subunit ribosomal RNA
Source: RNAcentral